CCUACGGGUGGCAGCAGUAGGGAAUUUUCCACAAUGGACGAAAGUCUGAUGGAGCAACGCCGCGUGAGUGAAGAAGGGUCUCGGCUCGUAAAGCUCUGUUGGUAGUGAAGAAAGAUAGAGGUAGUAACUGGCCUUUAUUUGACGGUAAUUACUUAGAAAGUCACGGCUAACUACGUGCCAGCAGCCGCGGUAAUACGUAGGUGGCAAGCGUUGUCCGGAUUUAUUGGGCGUAAAGGGAGUGCAGGCGGUUCAAUAAGUCUGAUGUGAAAGCCUUCGGCUCAACCGGAGAAUUGCAUCAGAAACUGUUGGGCUGGAGUGCAGAAGAGGAAGGUGGAACUCCUGGUGUAGCGGUGAAAUGCGUAGAUAUAAGGAAGAACACCGGUGGCGAAGGCGGCUCUCUGGUCUGCAACUGACGCUGAGGCUCGAAAGCAUGGGUAGCGAACAGGAUUAGAUACCCUGGUAGUC
Molecule: ribosomal RNA, 465 nt
Filed under: uncultured bacterium
Lineage: Bacteria
Description: partial 16S ribosomal RNA
Rfam family: Bacterial small subunit ribosomal RNA
Source: RNAcentral